GCAUUGGUGGUUCAGUGGUAGAAUGCUCGCCUGCCACGCGGGCGGCCAGGGUUCGAUUCCCGGCUGAUGCA
Non-coding RNA from Cordylochernes scorpioides, 71 nucleotides. The record is from the annotation of a GenBank genome assembly. NCBI's taxonomy places the organism in Eukaryota, Metazoa, Arthropoda, Arachnida, Pseudoscorpiones, Chernetidae.